UACGGAGGGUGCAAGCGUUAAUCGGCAUUACUGGGCGUAAAGCGUGCGCAGGCGGUUUGUUAAGUCCGCUGUGAAAUCCCCGAGCUCAACUUGGGAAUUGCAGUGGAUACUGGCAAGCUGGAGUAUGGUAGGGGAAGGUGGAAUUCCCGGUGUAGCAGUGAAAUGCGUAGAGAUCGGGAGGAACACCAGUGGCGAAGGCGGCCUUCUGGACCAAUACUGACGCUCAUGCACGAAAGCGUGGGGAGCAAACAGG
This 253-nucleotide ribosomal RNA is filed under the name uncultured bacterium. RNAcentral describes it as "partial 16S ribosomal RNA". It matches the Rfam family "Bacterial small subunit ribosomal RNA", at positions 524 to 776 of the family's 1533-position model. The record is from RNAcentral.